AGACCCGAAACCCGGUGAUCUAGCCAUGGGCAGGUUGAAGGUUGGGUAACACUAACUGGAGGACCGAACCGACUAAUGUUGAAAAAUUAGCGGAUGACCUGUGGCUGGGGGUGAAAGGCCAAUCAAACCGGGAGAUAGCUGGUUCUCCCCGAAAGCUAUUUAGGUAGCGCCUCGUGAAUUCAUCUCCGGGGGUAGAGCACUGUUUCGGCUAGGGGGCCAUCCCGGCUUACCAACCCGAUGCAAACUGCGAAUACCGGAGAAUGUUAUCACGGGAGACACACGGCGGGUGCUAACGUCCGUCGUGAAGAGGGAAACAACCCAGACCGCCAGCUAAGGUCCCAAAGUCAUGGUUAAGUGGGAAACGAUGUGGGAAGGCCCAGACAGCCAGGAUGUUGGCUUAGAAGCAGCCAUCAUUUAAAGAAAGCGUAAUAGCUCACUGGUCGAGUCGGCCUGCGCGGAAGAUGUAACGGGGCUAAACCAUGCACCGAAGCUGCGGCAGCGACACUGUGUGUUGUUGGGUAGGGGAGCGUUCUGUAAGCCUGUGAAGGUGGCCUGUGAGGGUUGCUGGAGGUAUCAGAAGUGCGAAUGCUGACAUAAGUAACGAUAAAGCGGGUGAAAAGCCCGCUCGCCGGAAGACCAAGGGUUCCUGUCCAACGUUAAUCGGGGCAGGGUGAGUCGACCCCUAAGGCGAGGCCGAAAGGCGUAGUCGAUGGGAAACGGGUUAAUAUUCCCGUACUUGGUGUUACUGCGAAGGGGGGACGGAGAAGGCUAUGUUGGCCGGGCGACGGUUGUCCCGGUUUAAGCGU
Molecule: ribosomal RNA, 806 nt
Filed under: Salmonella enterica subsp. enterica serovar Virchow
Lineage: Bacteria; Pseudomonadati; Pseudomonadota; Gammaproteobacteria; Enterobacterales; Enterobacteriaceae
Description: partial 23S ribosomal RNA
Rfam family: Bacterial large subunit ribosomal RNA
Source: RNAcentral